Transfer RNA from Camelus ferus (Wild Bactrian camel), 72 nucleotides. It matches the Rfam family "tRNA". Rfam says of the family: Transfer RNA (tRNA) molecules are approximately 80 nucleotides in length. Their secondary structure includes four short double-helical elements and three loops (D, anti-codon, and T loops). Further hydrogen bonds mediate the characteristic L-shaped molecular structure. tRNAs have two regions of fundamental functional importance: the anti-codon, which is responsible for specific mRNA codon recognition, and the 3' end, to which the tRNAs corresponding amino acid is attached (by aminoacyl-tRNA synthetases). tRNAs cope with the degeneracy of the genetic code in two manners: having more than one tRNA (with a specific anti-codon) for a particular amino acid; and 'wobble' base-pairing, i.e. permitting non-standard base-pairing at the 3rd anti-codon position. The record is from Rfam. Lineage: Eukaryota; Metazoa; Chordata; Mammalia; Artiodactyla; Camelidae.
GAGGGUAUAGCUCAGUGGUAGAGUGCAUGCUUAGCACGCAUGGGGUCCUGGGUUCAGUCCCCAGUACCUCCA